CCUGGCUCAGGAUGAACGCUAGCUACAGGCUUAACACAUGCAAGUCGAGGGGCAGCAUGGUCUUAGCUUGCUAAGGCCGAUGGCGACCGGCGCACGGGUGAGUAACACGUAUCCAACCUGCCGUCUACUCUUGGACAGCCUUCUGAAAGGAAGAUUAAUACAAGAUGGCAUCAUGAGUCCGCAUGUUCACAUGAUUAAAGGUAUUCCGGUAGACGAUGGGGAUGCGUUCCAUUAGAUAGUAGGCGGGGUAACGGCCCACCUAGUCUUCGAUGGAUAGGGGUUCUGAGAGGAAGGUCCCCCACAUUGGAACUGAGACACGGUCCAAACUCCUACGGGAGGCAGCAGUGAGGAAUAUUGGUCAAUGGGCGAGAGCCUGAACCAGCCAAGUAGCGUGAAGGAUGACUGCCCUAUGGGUUGUAAACUUCUUUUAUAAAGGAAUAAAGUCGGGUAUGCAUACCCGUUUGCAUGUACUUUAUGAAUAAGGAUCGGCUAACUCCGUGCCAGCAGCCGCGGUAAUACGGAGGAUCCGAGCGUUAUCCGGAUUUAUUGGGUUUAAAGGGAGCGUAGAUGGAUGUUUAAGUCAGUUGUGAAAGUUUGCGGCUCAACCGUAAAAUUGCAGUUGAUACUGGAUAUCUUGAGUGCAGUUGAGGCAGGCGGAAUUCGUGGUGUAGCGGUGAAAUGCUUAGAUAUCACGAAGAACUCCGAUUGCGAAGGCAGCCUGCUAAGCUGCAACUGACAUUGAGGCUCGAAAGUGUGGGUAUCAAACAGGAUUAGAUACCCUGGUAGUCCACACGGUAAACGAUGAAUACUCGCUGUUUGCGAUAUACAGCAAGCGGCCAAGCGAAAGCGUUAAGUAUUCCACCUGGGGAGUACGCCGGCAACGGUGAAACUCAAAGGAAUUGACGGGGGCCCGCACAAGCGGAGGAACAUGUGGUUUAAUUCGAUGAUACGCGAGGAACCUUACCCGGGCUUAAAUUGCAGAUGAAUUACGGUGAAAGCCGUAAGCCGCAAGGCAUCUGUGAAGGUGCUGCAUGGUUGUCGUCAGCUCGUGCCGUGAGGUGUCGGCUUAAGUGCCAUAACGAGCGCAACCCUUGUUGUCAGUUACUAACAGGUUCCGCUGAGGACUCUGACAAGACUGCCAUCGUAAGAUGUGAGGAAGGUGGGGAUGACGUCAAAUCAGCACGGCCCUUACGUCCGGGGCUACACACGUGUUACAAUGGGGGGUACAGAGGGCCGCUACCACGCGAGUGGAUGCCAAUCCCAAAAACCUCUCUCAGUUCGGACUGGAGUCUGCAACCCGACUCCACGAAGCUGGAUUCGCUAGUAAUCGCGCAUCAGCCACGGCGCGGUGAAUACGUUCCAAGGCCUUGUACACACCGCC
Molecule: ribosomal RNA, 1381 nt
Filed under: uncultured bacterium
Lineage: Bacteria
Description: bacterial SSU rRNA
Rfam family: Bacterial small subunit ribosomal RNA
Source: RNAcentral